CCUACGAGAGUCUGCAGUGAGGAAUAUUGGUCAAUGGGCGCGAGCCUGAACCAGCCAAGUCGCGUGAGGGCAGACGGUCCUAUGGAUUGUAAACCUCUUUUGUCGGGGAGCAAACGACGCCACGCGUGGCGUUCCGAGAAUACCCGAAGAAAAAGCAUCGGCUAACUCCGUGCCAGCAGCCGCGGUAAUACGUAGGAUGCGAGCGUUAUACGGAUUUAUUGGGUUUAAAGGGUGCGAAGGCGGAAGAACAAGUCAGCGUGAAAAUUGCGAGGCUCAACCUCUUCGAGCCGUUGAAACUGGUUUGCUUGAGUGAGUGAGAAGUAUGCGGAAUGCGUGGUGUAGCGGUGAAAUGCAUAGAUAUCACGCAGAACUCCGAUUGCGAAGGCAGCAUACCGGCGCUCAACUGACGCUCAUGCACGAAAGUGUGGGUAUCGAACAGGAUUAGAUACCCCGAGUAGUC
This 460-nucleotide ribosomal RNA is filed under the name uncultured bacterium. RNAcentral describes it as "partial 16S ribosomal RNA". It matches the Rfam family "Bacterial small subunit ribosomal RNA", at positions 338 to 795 of the family's 1533-position model. The record is from RNAcentral.